GCCACCAGCCAUAUCACUCUGCAGCUCACAACUGGCAACCCCCUGAAACUAAACAGGUGUGAGCCUGGUCAGUACCUGGAUGGGAGACCCCCUGGGAAAAACUAAGGUUGCUGCUGGAA
Molecule: ribosomal RNA, 119 nt
Organism: Lepisosteus oculatus (spotted gar)
Lineage: Eukaryota; Metazoa; Chordata; Actinopteri; Semionotiformes; Lepisosteidae
Source: Ensembl